ACUCCUAGGCUCAAGUGAUCUUCCCACUUUGGGCUCCCAAAGUGCUGGGAUUAUAGGCAUGAGCCACCAUGCCCGGGCAGGAAAAUGAUUUAUAGGAUGCUGGGAACACCCUCACUUAAACAUGGCCCCCAAGGUGGUGGUGGGGUGCUCUCCUGGCAUAUGAGCCUUCUCUCACAGUGGACACACCUUGUUAACAGGCCAUGAUGAAGACUCCCCUAGAGGAACCAGGCUGUUCAGCCCCCUCUUCCUGAGAGCAUCUGGAAUCUGCAUACUAGAAAAAUCGGGUUCUGAUGAGUAGGUCCCAUUUGAAACUGUGGAGCAUGCAGAGUGGGUAAGAAAGGCACCUUUUCCUGCCAAAGAAAGUAACUGACUUGGUGCCCUUUUCUGUUUUAGGCAAGUGAGGAUGCUGAGGUCGAUGAAGAUGUGGACAUCCAGGCCUUCAGGAAAUUUUGAAAGGCCCCUACCCUACAUUGGCUUAUCUUCCCAGAAACAUCCUAGGGUCCCUCGAAAAGCAGUGUAUGGCAGGGAGAAGGGUGCUGAAGUUAAAAUCAAGUUCUCUGUUGGAGUCACCAUCCCACAGGUGACCAAUAGCGGAACCUUGAGAACAUCCAUUCUGCUCUUGAUCAGCGUUGGCAAUGUCGUACUUCGUAGGUGAUUGAGAAUGAGUUGAUCUACUGGACGCUGCUGGUUGGGCAGAGGGAAGGUGAGCAGCGAGAAGGAUUCACGACAGGAAGUCCCAAGGAGGACUUGGAGACCAUUCAGCGGUGGCAGUCAGAGGACGUGUAGACUCAAUGAUGAAAACGAAUACAGGAUUUGCCCUCUUCUCGGAGGCAGUGGGGAGCUGGAAACUGCCUCUGCAGCCUGGGCUGGGCCACGCCGGGUGGGGCAGGACUCUCUUUGGAAUAUGAUUUCUAUUUCUCUCAUCGCUCCCUGCUAAGAACUCAAAUGAUCAAAAUUC
Non-coding RNA from Macaca mulatta (Rhesus monkey), 958 nucleotides. Lineage: Eukaryota; Metazoa; Chordata; Mammalia; Primates; Cercopithecidae. The record is from RefSeq and is a predicted model, not a curated record.